AUUGAACGCUGGCGGCAUGCCUUACACAUGCAAGUCGAACGGGCAGCGGACCUUCGGGUGCCGGCGAGUGGCGAACGGGUGAGUAAUAUAUCGGAACGUACCUUUCAGUGGGGGAUAACGUAGCGGAAAGUUACGCUAAUACCGCAUAUUCUGUGAGCAGGAAAGCAGGGGAUCGCAAGACCUUGCGCUGAUUGAGCGGCCGAUAUCAGAUUAGCUAGUUGGUGAGGUAAAGGCUCACCAAGGCGACGAUCUGUAGCGGGUCUGAGAGGAUGAUCCGCCACACUGGAACUGAGACACGGUCCAGACUCCUACGGGAGGCGAGCAGUGGGGAAUUUUGGACGAAUGGGCGCAAGCCUGAUCCAGCCAUGCCGCGUGAGUGAAGAAGGCCUCGGUUGUAAG
This 399-nucleotide ribosomal RNA is filed under the name uncultured bacterium. Its description in RNAcentral is "bacterial SSU rRNA". It matches the Rfam family "Bacterial small subunit ribosomal RNA", at positions 30 to 429 of the family's 1533-position model. The record is from RNAcentral.